RNAcentral lists this transfer RNA (79 nucleotides) under Camelus bactrianus (Bactrian camel). It matches the Rfam family "tRNA". Rfam says of the family: Transfer RNA (tRNA) molecules are approximately 80 nucleotides in length. RNAcentral also lists the same sequence under 2 other names. The record is from Rfam by way of RNAcentral. Lineage: Eukaryota; Metazoa; Chordata; Mammalia; Artiodactyla; Camelidae.
GUGGGUGUAGCUCAAUGGUAGAGUGCAUUCUUAGCUUGCAGAAGGUCCGAGGUCCUGGGUUCAAUCCCCAGUAUCUCCA